Molecule: ribosomal RNA, 460 nt
Filed under: uncultured bacterium
Lineage: Bacteria
Description: partial 16S ribosomal RNA
Rfam family: Bacterial small subunit ribosomal RNA
Source: RNAcentral
CCUACGGGAGACAGCAGUGAGGAAUAUUGGUCAAUGGACGAGAGUCUGAACCAGCCAAGUAGCGUGAAGGAUGACUGCCCUAUGGGUUGUAAACUUCUUUUAUAUGGGAAUAAAAUGUUCCACGUGUGGGAUUUUGUAUGUACUAUAUGAAUAAGGAUCGGCUAACUCCGUGCCAGCAGCCGCGGUAAUACGGAGGAUCCGAGCGUUAUCCGGAUGUAUUGGGUUUAAAGGGAGCGUAGGUGGAUUGUAAAGUCAGUUGUGAAAGUUUGCGGCUCAACCGUAAAAUUGCAGUUGAAACUGGCAGUCUUGAGUACAGUAGAGGUGAGCGGAAUUCGUGGUGUAGCGGUGAAAUGCUUAGAUAUCACGAAGAACUCCGAUUGCGAAGGCAGCUCACUGGACUGCAACUGACACUGAGGCUCGAAAGUGUGGGUAUCAAACAGGAUUAGAUACCCCUGUAGUC